This 391-nucleotide ribosomal RNA is filed under the name uncultured bacterium. Its description in RNAcentral is "bacterial SSU rRNA". It matches the Rfam family "Bacterial small subunit ribosomal RNA", at positions 30 to 425 of the family's 1533-position model. The record is from RNAcentral.
AUUGAACGCUGGCGGCAUGCCUUACACAUGCAAGUCGAACGGCAGCGGACCUUCGGGUGCCGGCGAGUGGCGAACGGGUGAGUAAUAUAUCGGAACGUACCUUUCAGUGGGGGAUAACGUAGCGAAAGUUACGCUAAUACCGCAUAUUCUGUGAGCAGGAAAGCAGGGGAUCGCAAGACCUUGCGCUGAUUGAGCGGCCGAUAUCAGAUUAGCUAGUUGGUGAGGUAAAGGCUCACCAAGGCGGCGAUCUGUAGCGGGUCUGAGAGGAUGAUCCGCCACACUGGAACUGAGACACGGUCCAGACUCCUACGGGAGGCAGCAGUGGGGAAUUUUGGACAAUGGGCGCAAGCCUGAUCCAGCCAUGCCGCGUGAGUGAAGAAGGCCUCGGUUG